Molecule: long non-coding RNA, 5836 nt
Organism: Prinia subflava (tawny-flanked prinia)
Lineage: Eukaryota; Metazoa; Chordata; Aves; Passeriformes; Cisticolidae
Exons: 7
Source: RefSeq, a predicted model, not a curated record
GAUUCAAAGGCUAGUGUUGCUUGUCACAGUUAUUUGGAUAGACAGAUAUUUUGCUGGAUGGACUCCUGACGUGCAUUUGUGUAUAAGUGCUGUGAGCUCUCACCGAGAGCUUCAGGCUCUGUGUGUAACAGUUUAGACACUGUGUUUAGAUCUCUUAAAAACUUGAUUUUUUGCUAUCACAAAACAUGUGUGGAAGAGACUUAAAAUUAGCAUUCUGGAGAAAAAAAAAAGAGACACUGGAUAGAAAAAUAAAUAUAAAAUAGUUAUUAUGGCAAAAAGAAAUUCAGAUAAAAGUAAUUUUAAUGUUUUUUGAAAAAGCUAUGCAAUAAAAAUUCCCACUAGUGCUCUAUGCCUCUUAUGCCUUGCUCUGCUUUUAAUGACAUAAAUUUCCCACAAGGAACAAAAAUAGGAAACUGAGGGAGAAAAUAAACAAUGAUCUACUUACUUUGAGGUUUGUGUGAUUGCUGUCACUAUGGUGUCAGAAAGUCUCCUAUAUAAAACACGCUUGUUUUGUAAUCACACAUUUUCUAGGGUACUUCAUAACUACUAAAAGGAAAUUUGAAAAGAAUUUUCAUCAAGAUUGGAGGCAAGAAUAUGUUUUAAUUUAGAAAUAAAUAAAGUGAUGUUCAUAUUUCUAAGCAAUUAAAAUUGAGUGUAGCAAGAGUUUACUGAUUUUUUUUUUCCUCUAAUUUUUUAAUCUUAAGGGUAUGGGAGAAGAACUGCUUUUGUCCUGACACCAUAAAGGUCAUGUUACUGUCAUCUUAUUUUGAGUGCUUUAUUACAGUCAUUUAGAUAUGUUAAAAAACUGUGCUUUAAAAAAUAUAUUUUCCUGGAGUAUAUGUGAUUUCUAAUAUUUUCUAGUGUAAUGAUUAUAAUGAUUAUCUAUACUCUUCUCAAAAUAUUUUGAGGGUGUUUUGUUUUGGGGUUUUUUUGGUGUGUUUUUUUGGUUUUUUGUUUGUUUGUUGUUUUUGUUUUUUGUUUGUUGGUUGGUUUUGUUUUGUUUGUUUGUUUGUUUGUUUAAUAAAAUUCAUAUCUUCUUCCAAUGUCGCCAUGAUUUUACUCUCAAAACUGCUCAUGCCAACACCUUGCAUGUCUGUGUAGGUAGUUGCAGUUGUAUGCUUUGCCUUUGAAAGAAAAGGCAGAUGAGAUCAGGUUUGUGUUUCGCAGCAUUUGGCUGUGUAUCUUGACAUAAACUGACACUGUACCAUUUUUAAUGCAGUACCUCAGACACAAAAUGGUUUGGUCUCCUUCUUUCCUCUCUAGAGCAGAAUUUGAUACCUGGCUUUCUCCCAAAACUGAGAGCAUUGUAAUGUGGGAACUCAACCUGCUAAACUUGGGAGGGAGUGGAUAAUUGUUGUUGUAGGUGUUCACAUACCAGAGCAUUUAUAUUUACUCCUGUUUGUUUCUAGCAACCCUCACCUCAGCAAAUUUGGCAAGUCUCUCCAUUUAGCCCACAUCUCUAUUGUUGAUAGACUAAUUGUGGAAUUCAGCAUUUGCACACAGAGCACUACUGUGGUGUCUCAGGAAUGUCUCCUUCAGUGAGAACAGAGAUCGUUGUUCUUUGCCUGGAAUGUAAUUAUCUGAAAAAAAUCCCAAUUGCUUGACUUCAUCUGGAAUCACUAUGGAGCUGUGAAGAAAGUGUAACAACACACAGAAGAAUGAAGAAGGUUGAAGGAAUCAAAACCCAACAGAUGUGCCUUCCCAGUAAUGUAGGAUCUUGCUGCUUUUGGCCAAAUAACACAAGUAUAAUGUCUUCAGUAGCAGUCAGAACAGAUUAGAGUAUUUCUUUACUUUUUUGCAUCACAGAUAUACAGAACUGCUUCAUCUUAUCUGAGAUUCAGACUGAAGUGACUGCCACCGUAAAAAGGAAAUUUCAACUCACCAAACAUCCAUAGCUUGCAAGACUGGCCUUUCCUAAACCCAGCUUGACUGUGCAGCUCAUCCAGAUGCCCAGGGCUCUGUGAUAACCCCUGUGAAGUCACAGCAUCUUUCAGGACGAAGAUAUGGAUGAUCACUAAGUACAAGAGUUCCCUUAAAUCAGCAGUGACUGUGGUUUGGCUCCUCUUAACAAUUAUGGAUCAUGAUGUCCUCGACUGCCUGUGUUCACAGCUAAAUUUUCAAAAGCUUCAUCUGUCUGUUUGGUGGAGUAAAGUUACUCAAAAAGUCUUUCAUCUUUUUGUCUUGGGUCAUUUGGACAAUAACUCCCAAGGGGCACGGAGGAGGGAAGUGCAUACCUGCUCUUCAUCUCUUUGCAGUGAUCAUUAGGUCAAAAUUUACUGCAAAUAGUAACAAAUAAAGCACUAUAUACUGCAUUUUAUGUAGACUACUGGAAGUAAGUUUGGAACCUGUAUCGAGCUUAUCAUGCCUCCGUGUCCUUGCACACCCAGUGAAGACCUUUCUUCAAAUCUCUCUGGGGGAAUUCCCUUUCUGCAGAGCACUUGAGGAGAUAUAAGCAACUAAGUGCCUAAAUUUUGGCUUAUAUUUCAUUAAAGGAAGAAUUAAGCUUAUGUCUUUAUGCCAUAUUAGGUGGAACUUGGUGCAGAGACCUGUAUUCUGGAUUUGGUUUUAGCGUUGCAUGUCAGCAGUUUAUCACUGUUCUUGUCAUAGCUGGGGCUAGUUGGGGACUGGAGCAAAGUCCUGCUUGUGAAGUACUUUUUAAAUAACAAGAAACUAUCUGAGCACAGUGCUUUAAAGUGUUUUUUUGAAGAACUGGAUAUGCAUAAUCAACACAAACAUGAUUUAUGAAUUUGAGAUAAAUCAGUUAUAUCCCUAGCAUAUCCCAGAGCCACAAGGUUUUGCUUUAAGAUAGAAACUGCAUUCAUUUUCUCUUUCUGAAAUUUACAUCAAAAUAACUAUCUUGAUGGACAUGAGGAGGAAUGACAGCCUCUUUACAAUGCUUUUAUUUAGAACAUAAAGCUAGGUGCUAAGCACUUAUCAUUGAUUUAUUCAUAUCUCAAUUAUGUCAGUUACUUCUAUUUGGAAAAUCAGCUACUAAAAGAUGCAUUCAAAAUUAGAAUUGUAGUUUAAUGGGUUUUAUCACAUCCUGGAAGUUUUAGUCUGCCUUUUUCUUACUGGUUACAUACUACUUGAUUUUAUUGCACAAAAUUUAAUUUAUUAAAAUGACUCUAAUUCUUCAUUAAUACCAAAGUAUGAGAAUAAGUCCCAAGUAAAUAAUUCUGAUAAAUUUUAGAUGGUCAGGUAGAGAUGUACCUCACCUAAGACAUCUGGGUCUAAUUCAUUCACCUGCAGAGACAGCCAAUGACUCUAUAAGAUGUCCCUGCCGGUCCAGCAAGUUUACCUGGGGGUUUCAGAUAAGACACAGGAGGCACAAGGCACUCAAACAUUUGUGGAGACUGUCAUACAGGAUUCAGCUUACAGAUCAAGGUGCUUAAAUAUUUAUGCCUACUUUACAGACUUUACAGUGUCAUUAGAGUCUAGACUUUCUUUAUAGGCAAUAGAAAUUUAUGAAAUUGAUACAGCUAUUGAAACCUACUUUAGUUAAUUUAAACAUCAGUUCACUAAAUUUGCAUUUACUGAAGAGUACUUCAAAUGGCUCUAUGGAUGCCACUGUAUCAACUAAACUCCACUGACUGAAUAUGAGUUUAGAUAUCAUUACCAAGAGAGGGUUUUGAGUUCUGAGAUUCUCUAGGGUACCCUCUCUGCCCUAUGGCUGCACCUGCAGAAGAUCAUGAGUCACUUGUAGGUCCUUCAUCAAAAUUCGUAACACAUGAAUGUCUCACAAACCUUUGGGCAUCUCAUCUUACACUUCAGAGGCUACAUUUACAAAAUGGAAACAAACACCAACUUUCCUGCAGUCUCAAAAACGGAAGUCACAGACAAGUGUGUGUCUGAACAUCCUUUCCUGAGGUUUUAAGGUGUUCCUCUGAGCCUGGGGUAAGGAAACAUAGCUGUUUAUCAGUGAAUGGGAAGUCAAAAUAAAUAGCAAUUUUUAAAAUAUACAGACACACACAUGCAAACUAGCAAACACACACAACUUCUGCCCUCAAGGAAAAAAAAGCCAGCUGUUAGGUAUUUACUAACCAUCAUCAUAGGAAAUCAUGGGUCCUAGAAUGCUUAGACACUUGGAUCCAUCAGCAAUAUUGUCACUGUAUAAAUUUUUAGCAUAUUGUUUUCUUUAGCAGAAUAAUAGUUACAAUAAUAAUGUCAAGUCAUGAUCAUAUAAUUGAAGCAUUCCUCUCCUUUCCUUGAAGCAUAGCAUAAAGAAGUUCAAGAUUUGCUGAAACCAAACUGACUCAUCUUACUAUGGUGUACAGGAUAAUCAUAUAUCAGAGGGACAAUUUAUGUCACUAUAUGAAGUAGUGAUGCUUUGGGAACAGGAAGCACAAAACCUCUGAAUUCAACAUUAUCUCACUUUUCUUCACUUUCUCCUAAAUCCUUUUUCUUAGCAAUGAGCUGUAUGCAAAAGUACAGAGCACCUCCGAAUCUUUCUCUUUCCUUACGUAUAACCAUGGCUUGAGGGCUUUAAGUGAAUAACUUUUUCUUUUAAAGAGGUGAUUCAUAGAGAGUUUUUCAGUAGAUGAGAGAAAUCCUUGCUUUCCAUUUGGCUGAUCAACAACUGGAGGAAGAAAUACAGAAGAGCUCAGAAAAUUUGUGAUGAAGGAUCCUGUUUGAUAAUUUAGCAAUAAGUCAGAUCAUUUUAUUGAGUUUGUCAACAAAAUUGAGAAUUAAUUGACCAGAAUAAAAUGUGUUAGUUCAGUAUUAGAAAGCAGACUACAUGCUGCUAAGUUGCCACACAUAGUCUACCAUUUAUACCAUUAAUUUACUGAUGUCAAGCUGGACAAGAUUGUAAGUUUUCCAGAAAAUGUGUAUCAUUUUGCUAUUAUUUUAUAUUUGUCCUUAUGCAAAACCUGUUCUGUCAUAAGAAAAAAAAUCCCUGUGUUUUCCCAGUACACUUGUAUGCAAAUGAUUUCUGCUGAAUGAAUGCUCAUCCUUAUUUUCUACAGUUUCACAUCAAUGCCUGUCAUCAUGCAAAUUUAUUCUCAAUGGGAUUACUCGGAACUGUGCUGGUACUUGUUCCUUCUUGUGUAUCCAAGCUUGUCCCUCCCUGGGCUUUGCCAGCUUAGCUCCCAGGGAAAGAGGGAGCUGGAGACAUUGCAACAGACCUUGGACAGGGGAAAAAGGUUCUAAACUCGGCCCUUGAAAAGUAAGGACUAUAAAGAAAGCAAGACAACCCGUGAGAGAUGGGAGCAACCUGCAGAGCAUAAGGUGAGGAUACUGAAAGAAGACUAAAGCUGAACUUCUAAGACAAUAAUGGGACAGCCAGGUUUUUUUCUAGCCCUUGCUCUUUCAUUACUUGUGAAUAAAAUAAAAGCAAGAUCUGACAUGUAAGAAAAAAUUACGAUAUGACUCAAGACCUUGGUAAUGCUGACUGAGCCAAAUUUUGAACUUCCAGGAAGCUCAGAAAAUUUCUGGAACAUUUUAUGAGGGAGUUCCCCUGAUUUUCAAAGACUCUUCUUCCUUGUCAUAAGCAACAUCAAAAGUGAAAAGUUAUGAAACUACUCUGGAAAAUGUCUCAAUACUUUCGAUCAGAGCAGAAGCAGGAAAUUAUUCCAGACAUUUCAUCAAAGAGGAACAGAUAACUAUCAAGGCUCACUAGAUCAUUUGAAGUCCAUCCAACACCACUUUAAAUUAAAGAUUUUAGUCUAUUAUUUCCUAAAGCCAAGCGGUGUCUGUAGAGAGGACAGGGAAUCAACUGCCUGAGGUCUAAUUUCAUCUCUUUGAAGUAAUGUUGAGAAAGCUUUUCUGCAGGAUAAAAGCAAUAUCUUCAUCACAGAAAUAUUGUUAUCUAGAGGUGAAUUCCUAGAGUUGAUGUUCA